CUUCAAGUUACUGGAACCAACACCAACCUUCUGAAGAGUAAUUAAUGUAAAUUGAUAUACAUGAACCAACAAUUGCUGAAAAUUAAUACCAGAUUAAUGCAAGUGCAUAGUCAGAACUAUACCAAGGAGAAGAACAAGCUGAAAUGGUUAAUAGAAAGAAGGUAGAUAAGGAAACAGAUGAAAGCAGAAUCUUGUGAAUGAAGAUACUGGUAUGAUGAUUUUAAGACUAGAGUAGAAUUUCUUUUUCCCCUUUAGUGUGAACUACACAAAACCCUUCACCUUUUGAGGAUUCUGCUUGGUGCAGCUUUAAGGUUAUUUUGGUCACAACAGAUGACUGCAGACCAUAAAUGUUUUGUCUUGUCCAACUUGCCCUGUAGCCACUGUGCCUGAGCCAGAGUAGAGAGCAGCUAUCCAUGGAAGAUAUGAGAAACAGUGUGUGUUUCUCUGGCUGCAGGCUAUAAUUAGUUCUUAGUAGGUAAUCAACAAAACUGCAUGCUUAUUCUCCUUCCACCCCAUGAGAUUUUCUUCUCUACAUGAAAUAUUCACGCAAAAUUUCAAGAUUAUAUCAUUUGUGAGUCGUUUUUCCUGAUACUUCUAUUUGGAGUGGUUAGAGCUGGGAAUUGAAGCAAUUACAGAAUUCUGACAGAUGCAUCUGUUCAAGGUUCAGAUGCUAUCAGAACAUUUCUGUAUUUCCAGCCAAGACGUUGACAAUGGGUGGCUCCCUGCUCCUUCUUCAUUUACCCUCACUCUCCUGGUUGUGGUGAAGAGCUUGGCAUAUUUGCAUUUCUUGAAAUAGGGAAAAAAUAAGCCUGUUACUUCUUGAUAGCUGACAUAAUGCAAUGAAGAUGAAUAUGACUCUACCAGUGGAAUGACUGGGAAAGGGGAGAGACUGCUUCCUCCAUGAACAAGUAGCUGAGCUGAGCUUGUAAAGAGAAUUCCCAAAAGUACAGUGACUAUAAGAAGAUGAAAAAAAGGCAAGUCUGAAGUGUCUGAAGGAAAUGCAUGAUGAGUAUGAUGGUGCAUCCCAGUUUCUCUCUCACAAUCUCAGUAUCAUCUGAGAAACAUUCCUUAGGCCUUGACCUUGGUGGAGCAGCAUCUGGGCUGAGCUUGUCAGAAACACUGUCUGCUCCCAGGAACUAGAGCUUUCUAAUGAGCUCCUGCUUUUUUAUCAAACAGCAUUGGGAAUUUAUUUUCCUUGCCUGGAAAACAACCCAACGGAAAUAAUAUUUUCAUUAUCAAAUUUUCAAAGAAAGUUACUGACCCAAAUGGCAGUCAGGAUGGAAAAUUACUCUGACUGAAGUCAACUCUCUUGCAACCCUAUAUACAGCAGUCCAAAGUGAGACCCUUGGAGCUCUCCUGGACUGCAGCAGCUGCAAACAGCAAAAUCCCUCUGAGUGGGGCCUCUAAGAGCCAGCAAACUCUGAAGUUUGCUGAACCUGAAGUUUGCUAAACUCAGGACAGCUGAAGGAUGUGGCUGAUAUCCCCACAUGUGAAGGCUCAACCCUUCACCCAUUGAGAAGAUGCAAAGGCAGGCAUGAGUAAUUCACUGAAUUCAAGGGGAAUUUUUCACAGCUAUACCUUGUUCUUCAUGUCUGUGUACAUGCAAGUGUGAAUAUGCUAUAGCAAAUGUACUAGGAAUGUUGCUCUCUUAGAUUCUUAAGUACUUCAGAUUUGUAAGCAAGUGAGGCCUAUAAGUUACUGUUGUGGUAUCAUAAAUUUUAUAUGAAUCCUUUGUCAAGUUGUUUAACUUAAAGUUAUCGAUUAAGUGAUGUUAGGUGCUGUUAAGGGCUGUUAAGGUUAAGUGCUAAAUGCUGUUAAGUGCUCUUAAGAUUAAGUGCUGUUGGGCCCUUAGGCAAUACCUGUUGGUCAAGUUCAGGCUCAGUUGAGCUCUGGAAUAGGAAGGUCUUCCGUAUUCCUUUUUAUCCUUACCCUUCCUCAUCCUUUUCUCACCACCCUCACCCCUCCCUCAGCCUGUACAUAGAUCAUUUUGGGUUUAUUUCAGUUUGGAUUGAUUGAUUUUGUAUUUUUGUUUGCUGUUUCUCUGUGUGCUUUAACCACCUGGUAAAUAAUAGAGUGAAAACUUGCCAACAAACUUUGUCAUUGUUUUGCUUUUAUAUUAGACCUGGUUUUGCCAAUAUUUCUCUUUUGAAGGUGAUUCUUUCAGUAAUUUUAAAACAGUUAUUUGCAACACAGAGGGACAACGAAGAGCCAGGAAAAGGAGGCCUCUUCUGUUUUAUCAUCUACAGCAACCUUUCCAUCUGUUCUCUAUUUCAACAGUCUGAGUUUUGAUGUGAAGAAUCGUAAAAUCAUUAAAUGGUUUGUGUUGUAAGGGACUUUGAAAGAUCACCUAGGUUCAGCAUCUCAUCUUGCACUGGGUCAGCUUGAUCAAAGCCCCAUCCAACCUGACUUUAAACACUUCCAGUGAUGGAGCAUUCACAGCUUCUCUGGAUAACUUGUUCCAGCAUCUCACCAUCACUGUAAAAUAAUUUCUUCUUUAUGUCUAAUUUAAAUUUACCCUUUUUUAGUUUCAAACCCUUGCCUUUUGUCCUGUCACUAAACUCCUAGUAAAAAGCCCAUCUCUGUUUUUCAAAUAAACCCCCUUUAAGUAUGGAAAUGCA
Molecule: long non-coding RNA, 2618 nt
Filed under: Cyanistes caeruleus (blue tit)
Lineage: Eukaryota; Metazoa; Chordata; Aves; Passeriformes; Paridae
Description: lncRNA (ENSCCEG00000008571.1)
Source: RNAcentral